Small nuclear RNA from Rattus norvegicus (Norway rat), 102 nucleotides. NCBI's taxonomy places the organism in Eukaryota, Metazoa, Chordata, Mammalia, Rodentia, Muridae. The record is from Ensembl.
GUGUGUUCCCUAUGGCCGCACCUAUAUUAAAAUUGAAACGAUACAGAUUAGCUUGGCCCCUGCUUAAGGAUGACAUGCAAAUGCAUUGAGUUCCAUAUUUUU